RNAcentral lists this ribosomal RNA (321 nucleotides) under Triticum aestivum (bread wheat). Its description in RNAcentral is "partial small subunit ribosomal RNA". Lineage: Eukaryota; Viridiplantae; Streptophyta; Magnoliopsida; Poales; Poaceae. The record is from RNAcentral.
AUGCUCCUCUGCCGCGCAGUCAUCACAGGAUGGGGCGGCGACCUCACCUUCCUAUUCAAUGUUCUGCCGGUAGCGAUGUUCUCUGUCCAGGAGCAUCCGGACAGGGAGGUGCUCCACGCUAUGCGUCUAGGCAUGUACUGCAACGCCGACCACAUGGCUAAGAUGGUCGUUGCCGUCACCGAGUUCCGUGCUCUCUGUUCUUCAUUAAAUCCAGAUGCGGAAACUAAAAGGCGAGUACCAUGGGAUCAUGAAGUAUAUAAAGCAAAGGAGGAGUUGUACCAUCUCCUCUCCGGCAAGAUCCUUUUUUUUGCUGGGGAAUAA